This 360-nucleotide transfer-messenger RNA is filed under the name Elusimicrobia. RNAcentral's name for it is "JACPAN01 sp016180815 Standard tmRNA". It matches the Rfam family "transfer-messenger RNA". Rfam says of the family: Bacterial tmRNA, also known as 10Sa RNA or SsrA, is named for its dual tRNA and mRNA-like properties. The record is from RNAcentral. Lineage: Bacteria; Pseudomonadati; Elusimicrobiota. RNAcentral also lists the same sequence under 1 other name.
GGGGGUGCACAGGGUUCGACGGGAGCGGAUCCUACGCAACUUCAGGUCCUAGUUGGCCGAGGCUAGGUAAAAAUCGGCCAAAACUGUACCUGCCGAUAACGUCGGGUACGCUUGGGCUGCCGCUUAAACCGCGGUUCAGCCUGCGCUCCCCGGGUAACGCCUUCUAGCCCGGUCAGAGCGUCAUUUAGAAGGCUAGGGAAUCGGUGAGUCAAGCAGCCUCCGGCCGCUUCCGACAACAUAAGGCGCCUUCGCGGUCAACCCCGUUCCCAGGGGGGUCGCGAAGUAUAACUGGGGACUAAACCUGUAAAUGUUGCGGGGUGAGGCUUUCGGACGCCGGUUCGAUUCCGGCCACCUCCACUG